AAGUCGUAACAAUGUUUCCGUAGGUGAACCUGCGGAAGGAUCAUUAACACGUAUCCAAACGUUAAAACAACCCUGUGAACCUUCUUCUUGCAGGACAUCAAAACAGCAAUCCCGAGUAAAUCAAUUACAGAUUUUGAUUUUGGGAAGUUCUGUGUGUACGUGGACGCUGCAAUUGAGCGCUAGAUAAAGCACCCUGGUACCCUAGAGCACUCCCCUGUCUGAAAGCGGCAGGGAUCAAUGUUCAGGGUGGGGCAGUCAACGAUCGCUGUAGGGUGGAGGCGAAAGCCCCUCCGUCAUCCCUCCGAGACUUGGCGAAAGCUGACUCCGUCAUAAAUCGAACGACUGUUACAAUGGAUAUCUUGGUUCUC
RNAcentral lists this unclassified non-coding RNA (368 nucleotides) under fungal sp. RNAcentral describes it as "partial internal transcribed spacer region". The stretch from base 1 to 46 matches the Rfam family "Eukaryotic small subunit ribosomal RNA", at positions 1786 to 1831 of the family's 1831-position model. Lineage: Eukaryota; Fungi. The record is from RNAcentral.